GAUGAACGCUGGCGGCGUGCCUAAUACAUGCAAGUCGAGCGAACGGACGAGAAGCUUGCUUCUCUGAUGUUAGCGGCGGACGGGUGAGUAACACGUGUAUCACCUACCUAUAAGACUGGGAUAACUUCGGGAAACCGGAGCUAAUACCGGAUGAUAUUUUGAACCGCAUGGUUCAAAAGUGAAAGACGGUCUUGCUGUCACUUAUAGAUGGAUCCGCGCUGCAUUAGCCAGUUGGUAAGGUAACGGCUUACCAAGGCAACGAUGCAUAGCCGAACUGAGAGGGUGAUCGGCCACACUGGAACUGAGACACGGUCCAGACUCCUACGGGAGGCAGCAGUAGGGAAUCUUACGCAAUGGGCGAAAGCCUGACGGAGCAACGCCGCGUGAGUGAUAAAGGUCUUCGGAUCGUAAAACUCUGUUAUUAGGGAAGAACAUAUGUGUAAGUAACUGUGCACAUCUUGACGGUACCUAAUCAGAAAGCCACGGCUAACUACGUG
RNAcentral lists this ribosomal RNA (497 nucleotides) under uncultured bacterium. Its description in RNAcentral is "partial 16S ribosomal RNA". It matches the Rfam family "Bacterial small subunit ribosomal RNA", at positions 28 to 507 of the family's 1533-position model. The record is from RNAcentral.